Molecule: ribosomal RNA, 389 nt
Filed under: uncultured eukaryote
Lineage: Eukaryota
Description: partial small subunit ribosomal RNA
Rfam family: Eukaryotic small subunit ribosomal RNA
Source: RNAcentral
GCUUGUCUCAAAGAUUAAGCCAUGCAUGUCUAAGUAUAAGCACCCUUAUACAGCGAAACUGCGUACAGCUCAUUAUAUCAGCAAUUAUUUAUUUGAAGGUCACCUAUUACAUGGAUAACCGUGGUAAUUCUAGAGCUAAUACAUGCGAAAAAACGGCUUCACGGUCGUUGUAUUUAUUAGAUAAAAAACUAAUACAGGUUCUACCUGUUCUUUUGGUGAUUCAUAAUAACUUUCGGAUCGUUUACGAUGCAUCAUUCAAGUUUCUGCCCUAUCAGCUUUGGAUGGUAGGGUAUUGGCCUACCAUGGCUUUAACGGGUAACGGAGAAUUAGGGUUCGAUUCCGGAGAGGGAGCCUGAGAAAUGGCUACCACAUCCAAGGAAGGCAGCAGG